This 245-nucleotide ribosomal RNA is filed under the name uncultured bacterium. RNAcentral's name for it is "partial 16S ribosomal RNA". It matches the Rfam family "Bacterial small subunit ribosomal RNA", at positions 524 to 767 of the family's 1533-position model. The record is from RNAcentral.
UAUGUAGGGGGGCUAGCGUUGUCCGGAAUCAUUGGGCGUAAAGAGCGUGUAGGCGGCUCGGUAAGUCCGCUGUGAAAGUCCAGGACUCAACCCCUGGAGUGCCGGUGGAAACUGUCGAGCUAGAGUCCGGAAGAGGCGAGUGGAAUUCCUGGUGUAGCGGUGAAAUGCGCAGAUAUCAGGAGGAACACCAAUGGCGAAGGCAGCUCGCUGGACGGUACUGACGCUGAGACGCGAAAGCGUGGAGC